AUACGGCUCAGUAACACGUAGUCAAUCUGCCCUAUGGACGUGGAUAACCUCGGGAAACUGAGAAUAAUCCGCGAUAGAUCAUAAUGCCUGGAACGGUUUAUGGUCCAAAUGAUUCGUCGCCAUAGGAUGGGACUGCGGCCUAUCAGCUUGUUGGUGAGGUAAUGGCCCACCAAGGCUAUUACAGGUACGGGCUCUGAGAGGAGAAGCCCGGAGAUGGGUACUGAGACACGGACCCAGGCCCUAUGGGGCGCAGCAGGCGAGAAACCUUUGCAAUGUGCGCAAGCACGACAAGGUUAAUCCGAGUGUUUCCUGCUAAAGGAAUCUUUUGUUAGUUCUAAAACCACUGAUGAAUAAGGGGUGGGCAAGUUCUGGUGUCAGCCGCCGCGGUAAAACCAGCACCUCAAGUGGUCAGGAGGAUUAUUGGGCCUAAAGCAUCCGUAGCCGGUUCUGUAAGUUUUCGGUUAAAUCCACUAGCUCAACUAAUGGGCUGCCGGAAAUACUGCANAACUAGGGAGUGGGAGAGGUAGACGGUACUCGGGAGGAAGGGGUAAAAUCCUUUGAUCUCUUGAUGACCACCUGUGGCGAAGGCGGUCUACCANAACACGUUCGACGGUGAGGGAUGAAAGCUGGGGGAGCAAACCGGAUUAGAUACCCGGGUAGUCCCAGCUGUAAACGAUGCAGACUCGGUGAUGCACUGGCUUUUGGCCAGUGCAGUGCCGCAGGGAAGCCGUUAAGUUUGCCGCCUGGGAAGUACGUACGCAAGUAUGAAACUUAAAGGAAUUGGCGGGGGAGCACCACAAGGGGUGAAGCCUGCGGUUCAAUUGGAUUCAACGCCGGGAAGGGCGAAUUCGUUUAAACCUGCAGGACUAGUCCCUU
RNAcentral lists this ribosomal RNA (876 nucleotides) under uncultured archaeon. Its description in RNAcentral is "bacterial SSU rRNA". It matches the Rfam family "Archaeal small subunit ribosomal RNA", at positions 83 to 969 of the family's 1478-position model. The record is from RNAcentral.